AUGAUGUCUGUCACUUCCUGGCUACUUUUUUGAGCACUGAUACCAACACUGGUGCUGUUAACUAAUAUUUCACUGACAAUUCACACAUUCAUCACAGCAACCCACCAAAACAACAGAGAUCCGUUUCCUAGCAGAGUGGCUGACGCGUUUCCGGGUUUCCUUUUUGCAGGAGUUUUAUCUGUCAAUCAGUCAGUCAGUCACUUUUUUUGGGAUGGAAGCCGUCGCGACGCACUACCGUUUAGCAACACGAACGAACGUUUGCAACCGUACAGAGAACCCGAUUCCGACUGGCAUCCGCUGGCAGACGGUACCGUGAAGUAAACCGAAGAGAGAGCUGCGGACUCCGACUCAGACUCUGAUGAUGGCGACGGUGACGACGGAGAGGAUGGCUGGAUGCUCGUAUCGUAGCCGCCAAAGAAUCACACCAACUACCAGCGCUGGAAAGCAACACCAACACCAACAGCAGCAACAAAAAAAAACGAGCCAACAGAGAGGAGAGCGCCAGAACGUGAGGGCAAACAUUGGCUGGCUUACGUUCCGGUCGGUGGUGGAUAAGCUGAUAAACAAAAAUAGUGUCCGUACGAUAAGCCUUGAGCUGAGCGCUAACCGGUUUUGUCGCUGGCCUGGAGGAGUGAGCUGAGCAUGUGUUGGUAACAGUUUUCCUUCGAACUGGGGUGUUGAUAAAUCCUAAACUGGAUGGAUGACGAAAGAAGAUUUUAUGGGUUACAUCACCAACGUUUUUUAUCCAUACUUAAUCCGUGAGAAUAUUCAGCUUCCAGUGAUCUAUUUCGUAGACGGUCAUCGAAGCCGGUUGAUGUGACCAUAUUCCAGCUGGACCAAACAGGUGCUGAUUUGGUGACCUGAGCAUCCAGGAAAAAUAAUCAGGUUGGAUGAACUUGAUGGUAUUUUGGAGAUGACAAUGAGGACCUCGUUCAAACCGCAAACUGUAAUGAACGGUUUUUAAGUUUGUGGCCUUUAUCCUUUCAACGCUAAUGCAGUUGACUACUCUAAAUGUAUCGCGGGAAAGUAUGAAGAUCAGCUUCGUCAGAAAAAAAAAACGAUGGGGUCUACGAUAGGGUACUAAUUCCCAGUCAAGACAUUGAAAAUGCAGUCAACAUGAUAUCCACCGAAAAAGCUGCAUUGUAUCGAUCAGUUGAACCGGAUGAUUUUAUAAGUAAAACCGAAAAAAAAAUAUUGUGCUAUAUCUAUAGAACGCUAUUGGCGCCGCUCGAUGAAUGCGACAUUUCUGAAGAGGAAUUGACCUGCGAAAGCCUAGCAACCGUUGGUAGUAUUACAGAAAGUCAUCAGCAUGGAAUAACCCAAACCGACCCAGUGAUUGAACCAUUACAAAAGACGCUUGUGCUUGAUCAAGAGCAAAUGACCAACACAGAUUUUUGUCGGAUGAUUCAGCAAUCGGAUAUAAUAUUUUCAAAUAAUUUAGAAAACUGCCAGCCGCAGUAUGAGAAAUCGUAUGCAGUAUCAGUAUUCUGAUGAAGUUUCAAGGUUCAAUGAAAUCGAAGUACCAGUACUUACAUCCAAAAAGCGAUUUGAGCUCCACCAGGCCAAACAGGCGGAAAAAGAGACGACCGCAAGGAAAAGUAAAUUAAAUGUGACGAAAAACGUGCUGAACGCAUGAAGAAUGCAAAAUUGAAAAGGUUGUCUUCUAUCAAAAUAUUAGAGGAGAAUUUGGAAGAAACUUCCA
Molecule: long non-coding RNA, 1702 nt
Organism: Wyeomyia smithii (pitcher-plant mosquito)
Lineage: Eukaryota; Metazoa; Arthropoda; Insecta; Diptera; Culicidae
Exons: 4
Source: RefSeq, a predicted model, not a curated record